This 269-nucleotide ribosomal RNA is filed under the name uncultured bacterium. Its description in RNAcentral is "partial 16S ribosomal RNA". It matches the Rfam family "Archaeal small subunit ribosomal RNA", at positions 474 to 740 of the family's 1478-position model. The record is from RNAcentral.
UACCAGCACCCCGAGUGGUCGGGACGUUUUAUUGGGCCUAAAGCAUCCGUAGCCGGUUCUACAAGUCUUCCGUUAAAUCCAGCUGCUUAACAGAUGGGCUGCGGAAGAUACUAUGGAGCUAGGAGGCGGGAGAGGCAAGCGGUACUCGAUGGGUAGGGGUAAAAUCCGUUGAUCCAUUGAAGACCACCAGUGGCGAAGGCGGCUUGCCAGAACGCGCUCGACGGUGAGGGAUGAAAGCUGGGGGAGCAAACCGGAUUAGAUGAACCCUA